This 246-nucleotide unclassified non-coding RNA is filed under the name Hevea brasiliensis (rubber tree). The record is from RNAcentral. Lineage: Eukaryota; Viridiplantae; Streptophyta; Magnoliopsida; Malpighiales; Euphorbiaceae.
CUGGGCGGCUUGCGCGGCGCCACCGCGCCGGCCGCAAUCGGGGGAUCGUUCCGUCUGACCGAUCAGGCCGGGCAAACGGUCACCGAAAAAAAUCUCAUCGGCCGCCCGAGCAUCAUCUUUUUCGGCUUUACGCANGCCCGGAUGUUUGCCCGACAGCACUGUUCGAGAUGUCCGAGGUUCUGCGCGCCAUGGGCCCCGAUGCGGGCAAGCUGAACGCGUAUUUUGUGUCCGUCGAUCCCGAACGCG